CACACCAUGGGAGUGGGUUGCAAAAGAAGUAGGUAGCUUAACCUUCGGGAGGGCGCUUACCACUUUGUGAUUCAUGACUGGGGUGAAGUCGUAACAAGGUAACCGUAGGGGAACCUGCGGUUGGAUCACCUCCUUA
RNAcentral lists this ribosomal RNA (136 nucleotides) under Escherichia coli. RNAcentral describes it as "partial 16S ribosomal RNA". It matches the Rfam family "Bacterial small subunit ribosomal RNA", at positions 1398 to 1533 of the family's 1533-position model. RNAcentral also lists the same sequence under 4 other names. The record is from RNAcentral. Lineage: Bacteria; Pseudomonadati; Pseudomonadota; Gammaproteobacteria; Enterobacterales; Enterobacteriaceae.